This 253-nucleotide ribosomal RNA is filed under the name uncultured bacterium. RNAcentral's name for it is "partial 16S ribosomal RNA". It matches the Rfam family "Bacterial small subunit ribosomal RNA", at positions 524 to 776 of the family's 1533-position model. The record is from RNAcentral.
UACGUAGGGUGCAAGCGUUGUCCGGAAUUAUUGGGCGUAAAGAGCUCGUAGGCGGUUCGUCACGUCGGCUGUGAAAUCCCGAGGCUCAACCUCGGGUCUGCAGUCGAUACGGGCGGACUGGAGUACUGCAGGGGAGACUGGAAUUCCUGGUGUAGCGGUGAAAUUCGUAGAUAUUGGGAAGAACACCGGUGGCGAAGGCGGCGACCUGGUCCGAUACUGACGCUGAGGCGCGAAAGCGUGGGGAGCAAACAGG